This 352-nucleotide long non-coding RNA is filed under the name Daphnia pulex (common water flea). RNAcentral's name for it is "uncharacterized LOC124203791, transcript variant X1". The record is from RNAcentral. Lineage: Eukaryota; Metazoa; Arthropoda; Branchiopoda; Diplostraca; Daphniidae.
CAGCUAGUGAGAAAGGAGUUUUUGGUCAGUUGGAGCUGUUCCACCAGGUAGCGUGAGUGUCUUCAGAGACGCUUAGCGGCCAUUUUGAUCCAAGACGCAGCAGAAAUGGGUUGUUGGUUGUGACGUUUCUCACGAUGAAAAUUAAAAGGUGAUUUAGCACGUAGAAACCAAUUUGCCAAAUCAUUCAACUCAGACUUGGGAAGUGCCUGUACAUUUCCGAAAUGGCGUGCCUCGUGUGUCUCGCUGCCUGUUCUUUGGCUUACGUCUCACCCCAUUCAACAGGAAAAAGUAAAACAAACGCUGGUGGUUACCUUGUUGCAGCCAAAUGGUGAAAGGUGUGACAAAGACAGAU